RNAcentral lists this long non-coding RNA (326 nucleotides) under Ananas comosus (pineapple). RNAcentral's name for it is "long non-coding RNA (ACOM_LNC028357)". The record is from RNAcentral. Lineage: Eukaryota; Viridiplantae; Streptophyta; Magnoliopsida; Poales; Bromeliaceae.
UGGCAAAAUAAAAACACAAGACAACCAUAUAAUAGUUAAGUAUAAUUUUAUGAACCACAAGAUGGCAAAAUAAAAAUACAAGACAACCAUAUAAUAGUUAAGUAUAAUUUUAUGAACCACAAGAUGGCAAAAUAAAAACACAAGACAACCAUAUAAUAGUUAAGUAUAAUUUUAUGAACCACAAGAUGGCAAAAUAAAAACACACUAAAUCAUAGAGGAGUUAAGUGUAACUUCUUAAAACACAAGAUGGCAAAAUUAAAAUACACUACAUCACAGUGAGUAAAUUGAAGUUUACCUUAAUAAAAUAAUGUCCAAGAAAAAAAUAU